RNAcentral lists this ribosomal RNA (253 nucleotides) under uncultured bacterium. RNAcentral's name for it is "partial 16S ribosomal RNA". It matches the Rfam family "Bacterial small subunit ribosomal RNA", at positions 524 to 776 of the family's 1533-position model. The record is from RNAcentral.
AACGUAGGAGACAAACGUUAUCCGGAGUUACUGGGCGUAAAGGGCGUGCAGGCGGCCUGAUAAGUUCGGCGUGAAAUUUCCCGGCUUAACCGGGGGAUGUCGUCGGAGACUGUCGGGCUAGAGGGUGAUAGAGGCGUGUGGAAUUCCGGGUGUAGUGGUGAAAUGCGUAGAGAUCCGGAGGAACACCAGUGGCGAAGGCGACACGCUGGGUCAUACCUGACGCUAAAACGCGACAGCAUGGGGAGCGAACGGG